RNAcentral lists this transfer RNA (77 nucleotides) under Erythrobacter sp. RNAcentral's name for it is "tRNA-Pro". It matches the Rfam family "tRNA". Rfam says of the family: Transfer RNA (tRNA) molecules are approximately 80 nucleotides in length. Their secondary structure includes four short double-helical elements and three loops (D, anti-codon, and T loops). The record is from RNAcentral. Lineage: Bacteria; Pseudomonadati; Pseudomonadota; Alphaproteobacteria; Sphingomonadales; Erythrobacteraceae. RNAcentral also lists the same sequence under 12 other names.
CGGGGAGUAGCGCAGUCCGGUAGCGCGCCUGCUUUGGGAGCAGGAUGUCGCAGGUUCGAAUCCUGUCUCCCCGACCA